GCGUCGGUGGUUCAGUGGUAGAAUGCUCGCCUGCCACACGGGGUCCCGGGUUCGAUUCCCGGCCGACGCA
Molecule: transfer RNA, 70 nt
Filed under: Rhipicephalus microplus (southern cattle tick)
Lineage: Eukaryota; Metazoa; Arthropoda; Arachnida; Ixodida; Ixodidae
Description: tRNA-Gly
Rfam family: tRNA
About the family: Transfer RNA (tRNA) molecules are approximately 80 nucleotides in length. Their secondary structure includes four short double-helical elements and three loops (D, anti-codon, and T loops). Further hydrogen bonds mediate the characteristic L-shaped molecular structure. tRNAs have two regions of fundamental functional importance: the anti-codon, which is responsible for specific mRNA codon recognition, and the 3' end, to which the tRNAs corresponding amino acid is attached (by aminoacyl-tRNA synthetases). tRNAs cope with the degeneracy of the genetic code in two manners: having more than one tRNA (with a specific anti-codon) for a particular amino acid; and 'wobble' base-pairing, i.e. permitting non-standard base-pairing at the 3rd anti-codon position.
Source: Rfam by way of RNAcentral